ACGAGAAUUGAUUCUUAUUAUUCAUGUUAUGAUCUUUCACUGCAGCUUAACACUGUGAUUGCAUUCCAUUGGGUGUAGCUGGAUGUUGUUAGAUAUUUGCUGAUGAAAGACUUCUGGAUACUUCAAAAUGUGUGAAGGUACUUGCUGUUAGAAGCUACAUGUUUGAUGUUUAUUAUUGUUCAUAUGCUGGGGGCAACUUGAACAUUUCAAAAUGAUGUUAAACUUGCUUUCUUGGUUGACUUUUUCUUAUCUCCUCACAGGGUGAUGCGGACUCUGGGUAUGGUGCAAAGGCACAUGAGAUAAUUGGCCAAGUUAGACGAAGGUGCUUUAGACACGAGAAUACCAAGAUGAAGUGUGUUGGUCGUGCUGCCCACUGGAGCUGCUGCCGGCGUACACUAAGGCUUCCUGCCCCUGCCUUCUUCGACUGUGACCUCUCCUACUGCGGUAGCCUUCUUCUUCGACUCCUUGUGUUCAGGCGAUGCAAGUUUUAGAAGGCUGGUAGCAUCGAAGGCAUGACUGCAGGUCUGGAGGGUGGGAGAAUAGCAAGCGAAAGCUGAACUCCUGUUGCUUGCGAAACCAAUUGUACCUGAGUUGUAUUGGUUGUGGACUUUUAUUUGUGACUCCAAAUCUGGAAUGUUGGGUGGUAGUUGAUGAAGUAACAUCAUUUUUGUGAUGCUCCAGACUUGUGCUGGAGUUGGGUUGCC
Lolium rigidum is the source of this 704-nucleotide long non-coding RNA. RefSeq lists it as uncharacterized. The transcript is spliced from 3 exons. Lineage: Eukaryota; Viridiplantae; Streptophyta; Magnoliopsida; Poales; Poaceae. The record is from RefSeq and is a predicted model, not a curated record.